GAUGAACGCUGGCGGCGUGCCUAAUACAUGCAAGUCGAGCGAACAGAUGAGGAGCUUGCUCCUCUGACGUUAGCGGCGGACGGGUGAGUAACACGUGGAUAACCUACCUAUAAGACUGGGAUAACUUCGGGAAACCGGAGCUAAUACCGGAUAAUAUAUUGAACCGCAUGGUUCAAUAGUGAAAGACGGUUUUGCUGUCACUUAUAGAUGGAUCCGCGCCGCAUUAGCUAGUUGGUAAGGUAACGGCUUACCAAGGCAACGAUGCGUAGCCGACCUGAGAGGGUGAUCGGCCACACUGGAACUGGGACACGGUCCAACCUCCUACGGGAGGCAGCAGGAGGGAAUCUUCCGCAAUGGGCGAAAGCCGGACGGGGCAACCCCGCGUGAGUGAUGAAGGUCUUCGGAUCGUAAAACUCUUUUAUUAGGGAAGAACAAAUGUGUAAGUAACUAUGCACGUCUUGACGGUACCUAAAAAGAAAGCCACGGCUAACUACGU
RNAcentral lists this ribosomal RNA (496 nucleotides) under uncultured bacterium. Its description in RNAcentral is "partial 16S ribosomal RNA". It matches the Rfam family "Bacterial small subunit ribosomal RNA", at positions 28 to 506 of the family's 1533-position model. The record is from RNAcentral.